CUAUCGCCACCUAGUGGUAAAACCCCAUAUCAAUCUCCACACUGACUUCCUGGUUCACAAAAACAGGAUCCUUGACUCAUUUAGGUUUCUUUUUUGUUGUUGAUCAUAUCGGCUAGGGUUCUCCAACCCUGUUCCUGGAGAGCUACCCUCCUGUAGGUUUUAACUCCAACCCUGUUCCUGGAGAGAGACCCUCCUGUAGGUUAACUCCAACCCUGUUCCUGGAGAGCUACCCUCCUGUAGGUUAACUCCAACCCUGUUCCUGGAGAGCUACCCUCCUGUAGGUUAACUCCAACCCUGUUCCUGGAGAGCUACCCUCCUGUAGGUUUUAACUCAAACCCUGUUCCUGGAGAGCUACCCUCCUGUAGGUUUUAACUCCAACCCUGUUCCUGGAGAGAGACCCUCCUGUAGGUUUUAACUCCAACCCUGUUCCUGGAGAGAGACCCUCCUGUAGGUUUUAACUCCAACCCUGUUCCUGGAGAGAGACCCUCCUGUAGGUUUUAACUCCAACCCUGUUCCUGGAGAGAGACCCUCCUGUAGGUUUUAACUCCAACCCUGUUCCUGGAGAGAGACCCUCCUGUAGGUUUUAACUCCAACCCUGUUCCUGGAGAGAGACCCUCCUGUAGGUUUUAACUCCAACCCUGUUCCUGGAGAGAGACCCUCCUGUAGGUUUUAACUCCAACCCUGUUCCUGGAGAGAGACCCUCCUGUAGGUUUUAACUCCAACCCUGUUCCUGGAGAGAGACCCUCCUGUAGGUUUUAACUCCAACCCUGUUACUGGAGAGAGACCCUCCUGUAGGUUUUAACUCCAACCCUGUUCCUGGAGAGAGACCCUCCUGUAGGUUUUAACUCCAACCCUGUUACUGGAGAGAGACCCUCCUGUAGGUUUUAACUCCAACCCUGUUCCUGGAGAGAGACCCUCCUGUAGGUUUUAACUCCAACCCUGUUCCUGGAGAGAGACCCUCCUGUAGGUUUUAACUCCAACCCUGUUCCUGGAGAGAGACCCUCCUGUAGGUUUUAACUCCAACCCUGUUCCUGGAGAGAGACCCUCCUGUAGGUUUUAACUCCAACACUGUUCCUGGAGAGCUACCCUCCUGUAGGUUUUAACUCCAACCCUGUUCCUGGAGAGCUACCCUCCUGUAGGUUUCAACUCCAACCCUGUUCCUGGAGAGCUACCCUCCUGUAGGUUCACUCCAACCCUGUUCUUGGAGAGCUACUCUCCUGUAGGUUCACUCCAACCCUGCUCCUGGAGAGCUACCCUCCUGUAGGUUCACUCCAACCCUGCUCCUGGAGAGCUACCCUCCUGUAGGUUUCAACUCCAACCCUGUUCCUGGAGAGCUACCCUCCUGUAGGUUCACUCCAACCCUGCUCCUGGAGAGCUACCCUCCUGUAGGUUCACUCCAACCCUGCUCCUGGAGAGCUACCCUCCUGUAGGUUCACUCCAACCCUGUUCCUGGAGAGCUACCCUCCUGUAGGUUCACUCCAACCCUGCUCCUGGAGAGCUACCCUCCUGUAGGU
This is a long non-coding RNA of Oncorhynchus keta (chum salmon), 1514 nucleotides long. RefSeq lists it as uncharacterized. The record is from RefSeq and is a predicted model, not a curated record. NCBI's taxonomy places the organism in Eukaryota, Metazoa, Chordata, Actinopteri, Salmoniformes, Salmonidae. The transcript has 4 exons.